UGAGAAAUAUUGGGCAAUGCCCGCAAGGGUGACCCAGCAACGCCGCGUGGAGGAUGAAUGUCGUAAGAUUGUAAACUCCUGUUAGAGGGGAAGAAUAGUACCGGUUGGACCGGUAUAUGACUGUACCCUCAGAGAAAGCCCCGGCUAACUACGUGCCAGCAGCCGCGGUAAUACGUAGGGGGCAAGCGUUGUCCGGAUUUACUGGGUGUAAAGGGCGCGCAGGCGGGAUAAAAAGUCAGUGGUGAAAUCCUACAGCUUAACUGUAGAACUGCCUUUGAUACUUUUAUUCUUGAGUUCGGGAGAGAGAGACGGAAUUCCAGGUGUAGUGGUGAAAUACGUAGAUAUCUGGAAGAACACCAGUUGCGAAGGCGGUCUCUUGGUCCGACACUGACGCUGAGGCGCGAAAGCGUGGGGAGCAAACA
RNAcentral lists this ribosomal RNA (422 nucleotides) under uncultured bacterium. RNAcentral describes it as "bacterial SSU rRNA". It matches the Rfam family "Bacterial small subunit ribosomal RNA", at positions 355 to 774 of the family's 1533-position model. The record is from RNAcentral.